Molecule: long non-coding RNA, 1312 nt
Organism: Aedes aegypti (yellow fever mosquito)
Lineage: Eukaryota; Metazoa; Arthropoda; Insecta; Diptera; Culicidae
Exons: 3
Source: RefSeq, a predicted model, not a curated record
UAGUCGUCGUGCUGCGAAGCCGUUCGUCUGUCCGUCGAACACAUAUUUGGGUGGCCGGUUGAUCAUCGUCGUCUUCGUCGCAGUAGGCGAAUCAUUCCGCAGCUAACCAAGGAAAAUCGCCGGCCCACUUUGUUUUUGUUUACAUUUGCUUCGUCGGUUUCGUUCGUCGCAUGCAGCGUUCUGUGCGGAACUUGGGAGUGUUGCAUGAUACCAGUGCGGCAACAUGUUGCAUGUGAUCAGUGAUGCAUCUCUGCCAUAUAACAGUGAUGAUUUAUGUGGAUUGUUUUGAUUAAUAUUUCUUUUAUUAUAUUUUAAAAUUUCAUUAAUUUCAAUUUCAUUUUUUUCAUAAUGUUAAACUUUGUAUUUAAAAUAGUUAGUGCCAUAUUGAACAUUAUAGGUUCAUUUCUUUUAUCUAGUUAUUCUGUUGUGGAAAACAGAAAAGCCCUCAAACAUCUUACAGGUAGCACUUUUCAACAGAAUUUGCUGUUAAGAUGAAGAUGAAUCGAAGCAACACCUACAAAUUAACAAAAUAUGUGUGUCGACUGUAGUUUUGAUAUUGUAAACAAAAAAAGUAGAAUUUUUUAAGCAGUAAGAAUCCCGCCAGAACAAAACAAAAUGAUCUCAUUCCUGUUGCGCCAACUCGUAGCUGCAACUCCUACACCUGGACAACCCGAAAAAGUUCAUGUCGGACAAGGCAAAAUUAAACCUGUUGAACGUAUAGCAACUACUCCCGACAGUACCCCAAAACGUGUGGGAACACCCGUGGCUAUAAAAGGAAACGCCAUUUCGCAAGACGUGGAGACUUGUCACCAUGCCAAAAAAGCUUUUAGUAGGCUUUCGUUCUCUUCCCAAUCUUCACUCACGACACACGACGCAAGACUCGGUAGAAAUAGAAACUUUUGGCACAUGUAACUUAGGCACACACGUUUUUGCCGUCAUCAGAAGCCGAUGGUGAAGGUCACCGUAAAAAUGAAAGGAUUAAUUAGCGCUUGAGGUCAAGCCACUAUGAAUCCCAAAAGAGAAGUAGAGCCCGACAAAUUUGAUUCGGAGGGUUCGGACCCAAUUGCCCACGAAGACGAUGAUAACAAAGAGGCAGAAAUAUUGUACGAAGAAGUAGGUGUCAGAGCAUUGCUGUGUGUGCAAUCAUUCCAGGUCUCGAUCGAAGUAAUCAACAAGUUUCUUGGUAAGAUCAAUAAUCAAUAAUCUAUCUUUGUAAACUAUAUCUUGACGAUAGGACAAAAGUUAACCAUGGAUUGAUAGUCUGGCGAAAUUCACAGAUAGGCAGAUAUUUUACACUUAAUUACAAAGUUUC